This 519-nucleotide ribosomal RNA is filed under the name Penicillium citrinum. Its description in RNAcentral is "eukaryotic LSU rRNA". The stretch from base 136 to 289 matches the Rfam family "5.8S ribosomal RNA". The record is from RNAcentral. Lineage: Eukaryota; Fungi; Ascomycota; Eurotiomycetes; Eurotiales; Aspergillaceae.
UGCGGGCCCCUCGGGGCCCAACCUCCCACCCGUGUUGCCCGAACCUAUGUUGCCUCGGCGGGCCCCGCGCCCGCCGACGGCCCCCCUGAACGCUGUCUGAAGUUGCAGUCUGAGACCUAUAACGAAAUUAGUUAAAACUUUCAACAACGGAUCUCUUGGUUCCGGCAUCGAUGAAGAACGCAGCGAAAUGCGAUAACUAAUGUGAAUUGCAGAAUUCAGUGAAUCAUCGAGUCUUUGAACGCACAUUGCGCCCUCUGGUAUUCCGGAGGGCAUGCCUGUCCGAGCGUCAUUGCUGCCCUCAAGCCCGGCUUGUGUGUUGGGCCCCGUCCCCCCCGCCGGGGGGACGGGCCCGAAAGGCAGCGGCGGCACCGCGUCCGGUCCUCGAGCGUAUGGGGCUUCGUCACCCGCUCUAGUAGGCCCGGCCGGCGCCAGCCGACCCCCAACCUUUAAUUAUCUCAGGUUGACCUCGGAUCAGGUAGGGAUACCCGCUGAACUUAAGCAUAUCAAUAAGCGGAGGAA